Long non-coding RNA from Electrophorus electricus (electric eel), 2463 nucleotides. RefSeq lists it as uncharacterized. The record is from RefSeq and is a predicted model, not a curated record. NCBI's taxonomy places the organism in Eukaryota, Metazoa, Chordata, Actinopteri, Gymnotiformes, Gymnotidae.
UGUAAUCUCUGAAUAAGGCUUUCUGAAUGAAUCUCCUCACUGCAGGAGAUUAUUUUUAAGCGGCACAGUAUUGUGGAAAUAUAAACAAUAUAAAAGGGCUCCAGGACAAAUAAAAGAAAAUCUCACAGUUCUCAAGUUCAAAUACAAAUGAGAACACAAUAGUGGUGAUGUCAUCUUUUCAAUAAGCCUGUGGUCUACGGUAGUCCUUUAUUCAACAGUCUGCAAUUGAGCUUUACUCAAAAUGAACAACAAAAUAAUUUUACAGAAGAAAAAAGAAACUUAUUCAAAUAUGGUUACAUUAGUCCUCCACUGUCAGGUUUAUAACCGAUUUACACCAUGCAUGGCGACUCAUUGCGCAUUUAAAACCGUUACUACUUUGGGCCCCGGAACCAGUGUGCCGAGGCUGGGACCGUCGCCACUUUCUAAAGUGAUGCAGAUGAGUCGGGUGCACUUGACGUCUUUUCAUGACCUAUGUCGUCCCACCCUCCCCUCCAAAGCCCACAGCCCCGCCGGCUCUAUCUGUCAUAUUCGGAUUGGGCUGUGGAACUGCCGCCUGCCCUCGAGCGUGGGAAUGGGAGCAUCCAGUCGUUCACAUCUCCUGCGCUCCGUUUAACGGAAUCAAUUAAGGAGGAGCGACCCCCUCGCUCUCCCACGCGCCCACCCCUUUUCAUUUUUGUCAGCUCUGCAUAUGUCCUAAUUAUUUCUGUUUGGGAUGCCGGCGCCGUUUCCUGGCCAAAGGCAGCCAAGCUGAAACAAAAAGUGGCAAGGCGUGCACGUGGGUUCUGUAAAAUGUCAGUCUGCAGUAGCUUUGCCACUUGAUGUAGGAUCGAUCACUGUUUUCAAAGAAGAAACUUUUAUCACUGAAUUAACUUAUUAACUAAUUUCAUGAGACAACACACAAACAAUCAAACAAAUAAAUAAACAAACCGCGCGCUGUGUGUAAACGAGAGAGAGAGAGAGAGAUAGAUAGAUGUUAAUCUAUCGAACCCCACAUUACCCUCAAUUACCAAUAAUAUUUCACAAAUCACACGAAAUAUAUAGGAGUGGAUUCCUUAAUGUCAUUAAAUUAUGAAGCAUCCAAUCGGCUCGAUGUGUCUGGAGGCAGUUUUUACUUUCGGUUAUCUAGCUUUAUGACGACCAACACACUCAUACAGCUAGAUAACCAAAGAUAACAACUCGCUUCCAAUUCCAUGACAGUAAUCCAGAUAGCUCGUCUUGAGUUGUGCAAAUCCAAAUAACGAAGUUGUAAAAUCAGCAUAAAACAGCCACCGAACUCCUUAAUUGUGAAGUCAUCCGGUGUUGUCCUCGUUGAUCAAAUGCAUCAUGCCUGCAAAGUGCAGCUAAAUAUCGGUAUCUUCAAAGGUCAAGAAGCACAAAUUAUAGGCUAUGCCAUAAUCCCUUAGACACUUUCAUUACAUAAAAUAAUGUCAGAGCAGAGGGCCAACGACGAGUAAGGUGCAGUCAUCCUUACACAGGCCCUCAUUUGCAUUGCAAAUUGACCCUCAAUCUCACAAAAGGCUCCUUUGGUUCUAUUAGACUGUGGAGGCAGCGACAGAUAUCCCACGGAACCAGCGGUGAGGUUACAAAGGAGAAAUCCGAUUCCAGAGGAGAAGUGUACAUAAGAAUAACAUCGCGUUUGUUUCGCCACUCAAUGGAGAGAUCUCGCUUUUUUUUUUUUGGACGAGGGGUGGCAGGUUGUCGGCGCAAAUCAAGCGGGGCACGGUGGAAAGCGGUAAUACCCUAGAUCGGUGAUCGCUGCCAUACGCGACGAGAGGGAAAGAAUUCCGCUCCGCUGUCUUCCUUCCACGAACGGUCUGAGAGAAGGAAAAGGGCCAUCUCAGAGAGUAGGGGGGGAUAAGGGGAGGGGACGGGCAUCCACUGCCAAAAUCUGGACCAACCACAGAAGGUCAAAGGUCUCGGACCGCGGGAGUGCCAAGCUAGACAAAGUGUCCGAUAUUUUUGACUCGAGGAAGAAGACUCGGUGUAUAGAGCCUGGCCUGGUUGUAUACGGAUACGGAUGCGUCGUGCACUGUGAGUUGAUACGCAAUGGUGCUUUUCUGUUAUUGUAAGGCAGGAUGUAGCACCAUCACAACGUGUUAUUUUCCGUUUGUGGCAAGAUAUAAUAUAUGGAUUCUAACAAUAAGAAUAGUCCGCGCGAAACCAUGUUUCAUUUUUCAACUGAAGUUUAUAUGAACUGACCUUAAUUCAACAUGACAGAAAAAAAACAUGCUUUGUAGUCUGCAAGUAAUGUCGCUGUAAUACAUUAUUCACUGCCUCUGUAUAUAUGUGUCUGCGUGCGUGUUAGUUAUAAAAUGUAUGUGUGUGUGUGUGUGUGUGUGUGUGUGUGUGUGUGUGUGUGUGUGUGAGUGCGUGUGCGUGUGUGUGUGCGCGCGCGUGUGUUGGGGGCGCUCGAGAGGGGGCAGCGUGGUAAACGUGGGAAAACAAUAAAAAUUUCCUUCAUCA